RNAcentral lists this ribosomal RNA (253 nucleotides) under uncultured bacterium. RNAcentral describes it as "partial 16S ribosomal RNA". It matches the Rfam family "Bacterial small subunit ribosomal RNA", at positions 524 to 776 of the family's 1533-position model. The record is from RNAcentral.
UACGUAGGGGGCAAGCGUUGUCCGGAUUUAUUGGGCGUAAAGAGCGUGUAGGCGGUCAGGUAGGUCCGUUGUGAAAACUCGAGGCUCAACCUCGAGACGCCGAUGGAAACCAUCUGACUAGAGUCCGGAAGAGGAGAGUGGAAUUCCUGGUGUAGCGGUGAAAUGCGCAGAUAUCGGGAAGAACACCUAUGGCGAAGGCAGCUCUCUGGGACGGUACUGACGCUGAGACGCGAAAGCGUGGGGAGCGAACAGG